Molecule: ribosomal RNA, 479 nt
Filed under: uncultured bacterium
Lineage: Bacteria
Description: partial 16S ribosomal RNA
Rfam family: Bacterial small subunit ribosomal RNA
Source: RNAcentral
AACAAACGCUGGCGGCGUGCCUAAUACAUGCAAGUCGAACGGGGAAAGCUUUCGGGUGAGUACUAGUGGCGCACGGGUGAGUAACGCGUGGAUAAUCUGCCCUCGAAUGGGGAAUAACUAGUCGAAAGAUUAGCUAAUACCGCAUAAGACCACGACUACUGAGGUAGUUGGGGUCAAAGGAGCAAUUCGUUUGAGGAUGAGUCCGCGUAAGAUUAGCUAGUUGGUGAGGUAAUGGCUCACCAAGGCGAUGAUCUUUAACUGGUCUGAGAGGAUGACGAGUCACACUGGAACUGAGACACGGUCCAGACUCCUACGGGAGGCAGCAGUAGGGAAUAUUGGACAAUGGGGGCAACCCUGAUCCAGCGACGCCGCGUGAGCGAUGAAGGCCUUCGGGUCGUAAAGCUCUGUUGUAAGGGAAAAAGUUCUGAUUGUACCUUACGAGAAAGGAUCGGCUAACUUCGUGCCAGCAGCCGCCGUAA